AAAUGGCAAAUCUUUGAGCACAUGGCAAGUAAGAUGCUGAGCAAACAAGUACCACAGCCACACUGGCUAACCAGAAAAGAGUUUAGAUAGCUCAUAAAUUUCUAUUUUAGAAUCAAAGAGGCCUAAAAUCCUAAACAAAAAAGGUUCUCACUCGUUUCCUGAAUUCAUCCUCAUCGGAUGAUAGUUUCCUGAUGCAGGCACACCAUUAACCACGUGACAGCUGGACAUGCCCAUUGGAUCAAGAUGAGGUUGACCUGCAGCUGGAACUGGAGAUUGCUGCAGGACGGGAUAUCCCAUGGGUAAGUUGUUGACUGCACUGGAAACAAGUGGCAAUAAAUAUAAUGAUAAUAAAACUAAAAAAAAACUCAUUUACCUGUUCUGAAAAUAAUAUUAAUCCCCAUGCUAUUCAAACAGCUUAAUUCCAAUUCGAAAAGCCAUGUUUCUCAAUAUUGAGGAAGAAAGGAAGCAGAAGAAAGCAAGUGCAAAGGGCAAGUUGAACUACAUAUUUUGUAAGAAUUUAUGUUGUAUAAACUCUUUGUUUUUAUAAGGAUGACUUAUGUUGUAUAAACUCUUUGUUUUUAUAAGGAUG
Molecule: long non-coding RNA, 589 nt
Filed under: Solanum tuberosum (potato)
Lineage: Eukaryota; Viridiplantae; Streptophyta; Magnoliopsida; Solanales; Solanaceae
Description: long non-coding RNA (STUB_LNC004291)
Source: RNAcentral